AAUCUACCUAAAGGUUCGGAAUAACUGCGGGAAACUGUAGCUAAUACCGGAUGUGUCUGUGAAGAGAAAGAUUUAUCGCCUUUAGAUGAGCCCGCACUAGAUUAGCUAGUUGGUGAGGUAAUUGCUCACCAAGGCUACGAUCUAUAGCUGAUUUGAGAGGAUGAUCAGCCACACUGGGACUGAGACACGGCCCAGACCCCUACGGGAGGCAGCAGUAGGGAAUAUUGGACAAUGGGGGAAACCCUGAUCCAGCAAUGCCGCGUGAGUGAAGAAGGCCCUCGGGUUGUAAAACUCUUUCAUCAAUGAUGAUAAUGACAUUAGUUGAAGAAGAAGCUCCGGCUAACUUCGUGCCAGCAGCCGCGGUAAUACGAAGGGGGCUAGCGU
Molecule: ribosomal RNA, 384 nt
Filed under: uncultured bacterium
Lineage: Bacteria
Description: bacterial SSU rRNA
Rfam family: Bacterial small subunit ribosomal RNA
Source: RNAcentral